Lacerta agilis (Sand lizard) is the source of this 372-nucleotide long non-coding RNA. RefSeq lists it as uncharacterized. The transcript is spliced from 3 exons. The record is from RefSeq and is a predicted model, not a curated record. Lineage: Eukaryota; Metazoa; Chordata; Lepidosauria; Squamata; Lacertidae.
GAAGCGGAAAGGAAAAGAAGAGGCGCGAUGGGCAAAAGGAAGUGCGGACGCAGGCGGCGCCUGCUGCCUCUUCGCGGGAAGGGGCUGCUCCAAGGGGCAGACAAAUGAAGAAGAAGAAAACUGAGUGCCUGGAUGAGCAAGAAAUUCCUUUUCGGUUGCGGGAAAUAAUGAGGAGCCGUGAUGAAUUAAAGAACCCCAAGAGCAAGAAGAAAAAGAAAAGGAGAAGCAACCAGCGCAUAUACUGGAGGGCGACAUACCUGUGCCAAAAUUCAAGCAGCGAAAAGGAGAGGGAGAAUCUACCUUCAUCGGGCGCAUUGAGCGGGAAACUCAGCGUGUGAUGUUCCUUACCAAAUACCAGCUGCAGCGUGAACC